This 253-nucleotide ribosomal RNA is filed under the name uncultured bacterium. RNAcentral's name for it is "partial 16S ribosomal RNA". It matches the Rfam family "Bacterial small subunit ribosomal RNA", at positions 524 to 776 of the family's 1533-position model. The record is from RNAcentral.
GACAGAGGGUGCAAACGUUGCUCGGAAUUACUGGGCGUAAAGCGCGUGUAGGCUGACCGGAAAGUCGGGCGUGAAAUCCCUGAGCUCAACUCAGGAACUGCACUCGAAACUCUCGGUCUAGAGUGGUGGAGAGGGAAGUGGAAUUCCUGGUGUAGAGGUGAAAUUCGUAGAUAUCAGGAGGAACACCAGUGGCGAAGGCGGCUUCCUGGACACCAACUGACGCUGAGACGCGAAAGCGUGGGGAGCAAACAGG